UACGCUUUGAUGGUUCAGUGAUCCGGAGAUCAUCUUGAGCCGUGUUCAUUUAAUGACUGAGUGCAUUGGAGGCCUGAGGGGGUCUCAUGCAUUAAUGAUAGGGUGUGCCGAAUACCUGCGAAGAUCUUAUGCCUUGAUGGCUUGGAGAUAGUGGCAGGUUAUAGUGGAGUUGUCAGGUCCUUUAGAGGGUUUGGUGGAAAUUGGAUAUUUGGCUAAGGCAUGGGCUCGGCCUUCUGGUCUCGGCCUUCUGGUCUCGGCCUUCUGGUCUCGGCUCUCUGGUCUCGGCCUUCUGGUCUCGGCUCUCUGGUCUCGGCUCUCUGGU
This 322-nucleotide long non-coding RNA is filed under the name Phoenix dactylifera (date palm). Its description in RNAcentral is "long non-coding RNA (PDAC_LNC005028)". The record is from RNAcentral. Lineage: Eukaryota; Viridiplantae; Streptophyta; Magnoliopsida; Arecales; Arecaceae.